AUUUUGGGUUUUGAGGACCGGGCUUAGAGGGUCACCUUGGGGAGAAUCUUGUAGAGUCCCACAUCUACCCUCUGCCUCAAUGAGAUACGAUCCUCCACUUUGAUGAGAUACUACCACUUGGAGAACUUGCUACAUGUCAAUCCCUGCUAUGGAGAAAGUAGACUUUUAUUCUAAUGCAGUAGACUUGAAAUCAUUUGAAUGUGAGAGAAGAGCUGGAGUCAGAAAGAGAUAAAAAGAGGGCCUGAGACUAUGCCUUAAAUUGUUAAUACAUUUAAGGGAUAGAAGAAAGAAAAGGAGAACCGUUAGAGAAGAUAGAAAGAAAUUGUUUCCUGGAUCAAAAACAGUUCUAGACUGGACUGUGUCUCCCACCCCUUUAAAUUCAUGUGUUGAAGCUCUAGCCCUCAAUGGGACUGUAUUUGGAGAUAAGACCUUUAAAGAUGUAAUUAAAGUUAAACGAGGUCAUAAGAGUAGGGCCCUAAUCCAAUAAAGCCUGUGUUCUUAUAAGAAGAGGAAGAGACUUCAAGGAUGCCUGGAAAGGCCAUGUGAGGACACAGCCAGGCAGGGGCCAUCUGCAAGCCAAGAAGAGAGCCCUCAGGAGAAACCACACUUGCUAACACCUGGAUCUUGGCUCUCCAACCUCCAGAAUUGUAAGAAAUAAAUUUCUGUUGUUCUAGCCACCCAGUCUGUGGGAUUUUGUUAUGGCAGCCCUGGCAGACUAAUACAGGAUCCAAGAGAAGAGAGAGUUUGAAAAAGGUGGGAGUGAUUGAUUGUGAGAAGUGCUGCUGAAAACACAACAAUAAAGUAAGCUGAGAACUUAAGUGUCUGUUGGAUCAGGAAAUAAGAAGUCAUUGUUAAUUUUGACAAGAACAUUUUAAUGGACUGAUAGAGGCAGAUUGCAGCGGAUUGAAGACUAAAGAGCAGGAUUCACAUAGAAAAUAUGGCAAUAUUUCAAAUCAUCAAAAUGACAAUAUGGCUGAGUAGGUGUUGUAUAAUGAAUAAAGAACUUCAUAAUUAAAUGCUUAUUCACAACUUUUAGUCUGAACAUCUUUUGCUGUAGGAGAUCUUGCCAAAUUGAUUCCCUUCGUACUUCCCAGUCCAAAUCUAAAUUAGUCACUGCUAUUACAUAUAUGUUACCUUAUCAUUUUUAAAUUGUAGUCUGUAUCAUAGUUACUUAUACUUCUGCAGUUACUUAAUUUUCUCUCUCACGAGGCAGUAAGCAAUGUGAGAACAAGGAUCAUAUUUGGUUUAUUCCAUUAUCUAUGGUUAGAACAUAGUGGACAUUUAAUAUGCAUUAAAUAAAACUAAAAUUCAUUCAACAAUAUGUCAUUAAAAUCUUUACAUGUCAAAUAUAUCAUUUUACUGACUGGAUUUUAUGUAUACAUAUAAUUUACACCAGCCUUUCCUACUAUAAAUUAUACUAUCUGGAAUUGUUUAGCCAGUUAAGGAUUAAAUUCUGCCAUAAAAUUUAACUUUUUUCUUUUUUCUCCAGAAAAACUGUUUUGACCCUGGGCUUUUUUUGCAAGUAGUUUUCUAAUUUUCUAAAUAAUUUUUUGGCCUGUCAUGGUAGCUCAUGCCUACAAUCCCAGCACUUUGUAAGGCAGAGGUGAGAGGAUGGCUUGAGGCCAGGAGUUUGAGACCAGCCUGGACAACAUAGUGAGACCUAACUCUAUGUAUUAAAAAUACAAAUAAAAACAUUAGCAGGGCAUGGUGGUGCAUGUGAGCAUGAGAGGUCGAGGCUGCAGUGAGCAGUGAUUGCGCCACUGCACUCCAGCCUGUGCAACAGACUGAAACUCUGUCUCGAAAGAAAAAGAAAAAAAAUUUUCAUGGUAAUUGCCUUAUUCAAGUUUCCAGCUCUAGUUGUACAUAGCAUUCUCAUUUUUAAUCUGUGUUAAGUAAUUAUUUCAUAUUCUUAAUUCUAACUUUGAUGGCUUUUUUCCUUUAAAAAAACUUUAUUGAAGUAUAAUUUACAUAUAAUAAAAUGCACCUAUUAAGUUGUACAGUUUGAUGAGCUUUCACAAAUGCCACCACCAUAAACAAGAUAUAGAACACUUCCAUCACUCAGAGAAGUACACUCAUGCCCCUUUGCAGACAAUCACUUCUACCUCUGCCCAAGGCAACCACUGAUAUACUUUGUCAAUUUAGAUGAAGAUCUCAUAUAAAUUGAAUCAUAUGGCACAUAUUCAGCAGAACAUGGUGUCACAGGAAUUCAUCCAUGUAGUUGUAUGUAUCAGUAGUUGAUGCCUUUUUAUUGCUGCAUAGUAUCUUUCCAAUGAAACAUGUUAUUCUUUUCAAAGAAUAAAAAAAUUCUUUAGAAACAAUUGCUUAUCCAUUCACAAGAUGAUAAAUAUUUAGGUUAUCAUCAGGUGCUUGAGUUUUCUAUUGCUAUUUUAACAAAUAAACACAAACUUGAUGGGAUACAAUGACACAAAUUUAUCAUCUUAUAGCUCUGGAGAUAAAAAGUCCAAAAUAAGUUUCAUGGUACUAAAAUCAAGAUGUGGCAGGACUCCAUUUCUUCUGGAUGUUUAGAGGCAGUGUUUUCUUUCUUUUUCCAGCUUCUAGAGGUUCCCACAUUCCUUGGCUCCUAGGCUCCUUUCAUCUUCAAAGCCAACACAUCUUUCUCAUAGCUUCUUACCUCUGAGUUGACAAUGUCUCUUUUUUGCUUGUAGGUAGCCUUGUGAUUACAUUGGGCUUACCCAGAUCCAGAUCAUCUAGGAUAAUCUCUCUACCCAAGAUCUUUAAUGUAAUCACACCUGCAAAGUCCCUUUUGGGAAGAAAGGUUGUAGAGAAGGUACUGUUCCCAUUGAAAUCAGUAACGGCCAUGUGACCUGAUUCGACUCAUGAAAUGUUGAAAAUGUGGCAGAUGUGUAUGGAGAAUGAGAAAAUUCCUGUUAUAAUAGAGAUGACUUAAAUUAUGAGGAUGGUAAAGAAGAGGAAAUGUUUUCUGUCCUUUCAAGACGUCAAAGCUUAAUUGAACAUGUUUUUAAAAAUGAAAAUAAAAAUCUCAGUGCAAAGAAUACAUUUACUUCUCUAGUAGAGACUAUUAAUUGCAG
RNAcentral lists this long non-coding RNA (3050 nucleotides) under Homo sapiens (human). RNAcentral describes it as "HSALNT0009594". Lineage: Eukaryota; Metazoa; Chordata; Mammalia; Primates; Hominidae. The record is from RNAcentral.